UAUGCAGGGAAGCUGUGGCCCAACCCUCACAAAAGUGGAGAGAUGACUGUACAUAUACAUGGUGAAAGGGCAGGAAACUCAUCUGGUGCUGGGAUGGAUUAAAUUAUGGCCUUUUGCCACUAUACUCAGAGAAGGGGAUGGUUCCUUUUUUAAUAACACUUCCUUUUCUUAUAAGGUACAGUUCUCACACUGACCCACUGAUAAGAGCUGGGAAGCUAAGCCAAGAGUUAGCCCUGGUUAAUACUUGUAUGGGAGACUGCCAAUGAAUACCAAGUAAUAUAGGCUAGCUUUCAGAGAAAGGAACUGGUAAGCUCACUUGUGAGUUUUCCUUGCCUAAGGAACCCUUAUGAAAUUUAGAGGGUGCCAUAAGUAGAAAGGCUACUUGUAGGUACAUAAAUAUGCACAGAGAGGCAAAUUUAAGCUCAUACAGUAGGUCCAAUCUGGAGAAGGGCCUCACCUGCUUCAAUCAAAUCAAUAGUCUGCAGAGAUUACAGUAGGGCUGAAAUUACGCAGUCAUGUUUUCACAAUUUGGUGUGCCAGAGGGUAUUAAGCCAGAAAAGGAGUUCAAAGUGAGAUGGUACAGAUUGUAUUAACCUUCACCCACAAACGCACACAUACACUUUCUCUCAUAAUUCAAAUUUAGUUUUGAGAUGCAGUACUAAACUUUACUGAACCUUGAACAAGAGGCUACUUUCCUCCCAAAUGGUAUUUCUUUAAAUAUCCUGGCCUUUAAGUUUAAUGCCUGGGGAAACUACCACCCAGGAGUCAACACGCUGAGUGCUGACUUGUCCUCUCCUCUCCAGCAGGCAAUAAUAUAGUGGAGCAGAGAAGAUCAGGAUGAGCUGGCUGCCUCAAGAUAAAAGAUCUCAGAUGACAGGGAAUUGCAAUGACAUCUUUGAUGACACAGCUAAACAUAUUUGCUGCCUUUAAGUGUUGGAUGACAAAGCAAUAUAUCUCUGUAACCCUUGAUUGUAAUACAUUAUAGAUCGACAUAAAAAAAAUUGUUCGUGGAAAGAUUGAGUGGAAUUUGGAGUGCCAUUUUGGUUUUUUUGCCUCAGGCAGCAAACCAUCUUGGGCCAGUCUUGGGAACAGAGUGAGCCAAACACCAACCUAAUAGCCUCAUAUCACAUUUCCCUCAGUAGAUGUUACAGGGUGAAGGGGAAGAACUCUAUGUAUGCCAGGGAUGUUUUCAUCAGCAAAUACACGUUUUAGGUAAUGUUUAGUCUAAGCCAGAGGCAGGAGACCACACACAUUCCCACACCAGGUAAUCAUGUGUUUGUAAUUUUUGUUGACAAACCCAACUGAAAGUUACUUUGAAAUGUCAUUCUACUCCAUUUGAUUAAAAGAAACAAAGACAUAAGUCCCCUUCAUUGCACUACCAUUUAGAAAUUGCCAGCUCCCCCCUUCAGAAUUAAACUUUAUGGAGACAGCCAGUCUAAUCCUGCUCAGAUGAAGAAGUGAACUCAUUUGCCCUCCUUUAGAAAACCCUUUGUAAGUUUUAUAGUAUUGGGAAGAAAAACCAGUGGUGUGUGAAAUGGCCUAGAAUAGGUUUAUAAUGGAAGCGCCUAAAAAUAAAUCGACAACAGUAGGAGAAAAUUAAAUCACUCCACAGCCAGUCUUUGUAUCACUCAUAAUUACAACCCCAUACAAUAUUCUGGUGUCAUUAUUAUUUUUUUAAAAAGAUUUUUGGAAGCACCACACAAAAUCUUCAAUUCAACCUAGAUUCCUUUUUAAAGAAAGUAUGGCAAUCAGUUUUGCAACAAAAACAAGCUGUAAAAAAACCACAGAAUGACCAGAUGGAAAAGCAUUUACACCACAGAGCAUGGAAUUCCCUGAGAAACCAGACAAAUGAAAUCAGAGAAGUAGAAACUCAUAUGAUGAAGCAGAGUUAUAAAUUACACACUGAAAAUCUACAGGGCACAAAAGGGUUUGCUAAAUAUUUUGCAAAAAAAGGGAACACACCCGUCAUUAAAUGUUUACUGUGCUUAUGAAUCUGGUACAAAGGAAGAAAAUGUAAGGAUGAAAAAAUGAGGGCACUUCCAGACAGUGUCAAAUUGUGGGAUUUAGAAGAGGGACAAAACAAAAACAAAAACCCGGGACCUCAGAGCAGGUCCCCACACAGACAUGCCAGUCCCAGGCGCUCUUUCCCCGCCGUCCUCAAUGGGCUACCUUCUGUGUCUCAGGAUAAAAUAGAAGGCGGGCAGGGUCAUCCACUGGAAGUUUUUAUUUAAAAAUUUGGUUAUGCGCUGUUCCAUCUAUGCACACAUGCGCAUCUCUAAAUAUAAUAAAUACAAACAUAUUUGCAUGUGCACAUAUACGAAUCAGCACAUAACAGAGGGAUUUUUUUAAAAAAAACUUCAGCCGGAUUUCUCCCUUCCCUAAUUAUUUAUUAAAGCUCUGUUUACAGUGUAAAAUAAGAGUUUCAGAAAGUUCGAAUGCCUCUCUGUUCUUGCUUCCUAUCAAUCAGCUGUACAUUUGUUUGACAGCCCAAUCAGCUGAUCAGCUGUUUUGGGCUUUUAAAAAGGGACGGACAUCAGUUAGAGCAGUCUCCACAGGAGGGAGGGAAAGAAAACACAUAUUUUCUGGCAUGCAGGGUCACACAGACAUACAAAGAUGCACACCUUUCAGCCAGAAAUGAGAUAAAAGGGGACCUUUUAUCCUGUGGUUUCGCUCCUUUGUAGCGAAUCAUCACGAGUGACAUCAUCUAGCCACCCUCCAUUUUGAAACGGGAGCUCUCGUGAUUAAGGUACUGUGUGGAUGGGGCCUGAGAAAUAUUAAUUCUGGAGAAAUUAAUUUUUUAAGGAAUCAAAAUAUGGCAUUUAAAGUUUUAGAAACAGUUUCAAAUGCAACAAGAGAAAUAAGGUUGAACAAACAUAGUUGAGAACACACACAUUUGCGCAGUGAUUAGAUUAUAUGUUUUUCUGAAAUUGUAAACUUAGUGAUAAAAGUGGAAUUCUGUGUUGAUUUUCUGAAGAUCUUGUCCCAUUUUCUCUCCAAGCAGUACUCUUCAGGUCUGAUCAUAACAUUGUUUUCUGACACAAUCAAUCUGGCAGCCUCAAGAUCAAUGAACAGAAUUGGUCCAUGGCCAGAGGUGGCAACUUUGCUUAUUCAAGAAAGAAGGAUCUUUGCUCCGUGUUCCUGUAUCUUGCUUCAAGUAUCAGCCUUGCUGUGAAUCCAGUGGAAUAUUCCAGUGACUUUGCUGUUUGGAGUUUAUUCCAGUCGAGACCUUUGCCUUGGGUUUCAUCUUUGACUUUAUACCUUGGAACUAUUCCUGCAUUUGAAUCUUGUUUUAUGUGCCUUGUUUGUGGAUCAUCAUUGACUCUACACCUGGAACCACAUUGGAAUUAAUCCUGCACUCCAGUCUUGGUUUUCUAUGAUUAUCCUUGAUUCAUGUCUUGGGAAAUAAUCCAGUUUCAGACUAUGCUCUUUAAGUGGUUUUUAUAGACUCUUGUCUCAUGAACUUUAAGUACCUUGCUCUUUUGGAUUUAAACCUAAUUUACUGACUCUGAACUAUAUUUUGCUUUUACUUGCUUAUAAUAAUCAAUAAACAACUUGCUUAUA
This is a long non-coding RNA of Anolis carolinensis (green anole), 3561 nucleotides long. RefSeq lists it as uncharacterized. Lineage: Eukaryota; Metazoa; Chordata; Lepidosauria; Squamata; Anolidae. The transcript has 2 exons. The record is from RefSeq and is a predicted model, not a curated record.